RNAcentral lists this ribosomal RNA (846 nucleotides) under uncultured fungus. RNAcentral's name for it is "LSU rRNA". It matches the Rfam family "Eukaryotic large subunit ribosomal RNA", at positions 74 to 936 of the family's 3401-position model. The record is from RNAcentral. Lineage: Eukaryota; Fungi.
AUUGCCUCAGUAACGGCGAGUGAAGCGGCAACAGCUCAAAUUUGAAAUCUGGCUCUUUCAGGGUCCGAGUUGUAAUUUGUAGAAGAUGCUUCGGGUGUGGUUCCGGUCUAAGUUCCUUGGAACAGGACGUCAUAGAGGGUGAGAAUCCCGUAUGUGACCGGCUACCUUCGCUCAUGUGAAGCUCUUUCGACGAGUCGAGUUGUUUGGGAAUGCAGCUCAAAAUGGGUGGUAAAUUUCAUCUAAAGCUAAAUAUUGGCCAGAGACCGAUAGCGCACAAGUAGAGUGAUCGAAAGAUGAAAAGCACUUUGGAAAGAGAGUUAAAUAGUACGUGAAAUUGUUGAAAGGGAAGCGCUUGCAAUCAGACUUGCACGCAGUUGAUCAUCCGGUGUUCUCACCGGUGCACUCUGCUGCGUUCAGGCCAGCAUCGGUUCUGGUGGUUGGAUAAAGGCCUUGGGAAUGUAGCUCCUUUCGGGGAGUGUUAUAGCCCUCGGUGCAAUGCAGCCUACCGGGACCGAGGACCGCGCUUCGGCUAGGAUGCUGGCGUAAUGGUUGUAAGCGACCCGUCUUGAAACACGGACCAAGGAGUCUAACAUCUAUGCGAGUGUUUGGGUGUCAAACCCAUACGCGUAAUGAAAGUGAACGGAGGUGAGAACCCUUAAGGGUGCAUCAUCGACCGAUCCUGAUGUCUUCGGAUGGAUUUGAGUAAGAGCAUAGCUGUUGGGACCCGAAAGAUGGUGAACUAUGCGUGAAUAGGGUGAAGCCAGAGGAAACUCUGGUGGAGGCUCGCAGCGGUUCUGACGUGCAAAUCGAUCGUCAAAUUUGCGCAUAGGGGCGAAAAGACUAAUC